Molecule: ribosomal RNA, 492 nt
Filed under: uncultured bacterium
Lineage: Bacteria
Description: partial 16S ribosomal RNA
Rfam family: Bacterial small subunit ribosomal RNA
Source: RNAcentral
AGUGAACGCUGGCGGUAGGCCUAACACAUGCAAGUCGAACGGCAGCACAGUAAGAGCUUGCUCUUACGGGUGGCGAGUGGCGGACGGGUGAGGAAUACAUCGGAAUCUACUUUUUCGUGGGGGAUAACGUAGGGAAACUUACGCUAAUACCGCAUACGACCUACGGGUGAAAGCAGGGGAUCUUCGGACCUUGCGCGAUUGAAUGAGCCGAUGUCGGAUUAGCUAGUUGGCGGGGUAAAGGCCCACCAAGGCGACGAUCCGUAGCUGGUCUGAGAGGAUGAUCAGCCACACUGGAACUGAGACACGGUCCAGACUCCUACGGGAGGCAGCAGUGGGGAAUAUUGGACAAAGGGCGCAAGCCUGAUCCAGCCAUACCGCGUGGGUGAAGAAGGCCUUCGGGUUGUAAAGCCCUUUUGUUGGGAAAGAAAAGCAGCGGGUUAAUACCCCGCUGUUCUGACGGUACCCAAAGAAUAAGCACCGGCUAACUUCGUG